CCUUGUACACACCGCCCGUCACACCAUGGGAGUUGUUUGGACCCGAAGCCGCCUGGCCAACCCGCAAGGGAAGUAAGCGUCUAAGGUCUGGACAGUGACUGGGGUG
This 106-nucleotide ribosomal RNA is filed under the name uncultured bacterium. Its description in RNAcentral is "partial 16S ribosomal RNA". It matches the Rfam family "Bacterial small subunit ribosomal RNA", at positions 1379 to 1482 of the family's 1533-position model. The record is from RNAcentral.